RNAcentral lists this ribosomal RNA (465 nucleotides) under uncultured bacterium. RNAcentral's name for it is "bacterial SSU rRNA". It matches the Rfam family "Bacterial small subunit ribosomal RNA", at positions 338 to 795 of the family's 1533-position model. The record is from RNAcentral.
CCUACGGGGGGCAGCAGUGGGGAAUUUUGGACAAUGGGCGAAAGCCUGAUCCAGCAAUGCCGCGUGCAGGACGAAGGCCUUCGGGUUGUAAACUGCUUUUGUACGGAACGAAACGGUUCUCUCUAAUAAAGGGGGCUAAUGACGGUACCGUAAGAAUAAGCACCGGCUAACUACGUGCCAGCAGCCGCGGUAAUACGUAGGGUGCGAGCGUUAAUCGGAAUUACUGGGCGUAAAGCGUGCGCAGGCGGUUAUAUAAGACAGAUGUGAAAUCCCCGGGCUCAACCUGGGACCUGCAUUUGUGACUGUAUAGCUAGAGUACGGUAGAGGGGGAUGGAAUUCCGCGUGUAGCAGUGAAAUGCGUAGAUAUGCGGAGGAACACCGAUGGCGAAGGCAAUCCCCUGGACCUGUACUGACGCUCAUGCACGAAAGCGUGGGGAGCAAACAGGAUUAGAUACCCUUGUAGUC